Molecule: long non-coding RNA, 1876 nt
Organism: Carassius gibelio (silver crucian carp)
Lineage: Eukaryota; Metazoa; Chordata; Actinopteri; Cypriniformes; Cyprinidae
Exons: 3
Source: RefSeq, a predicted model, not a curated record
ACAGCCUAUAAAGGUAGAGAGGUUUAGUCAGUUAUUUUAGAUAAACAUGAGAUGGUUUUCUUUAUGUGUAGAGCUUUAGACUGUGUUCCUGACCACAGAACUGAAAGCAGCGCCAAGAUAUAUUAGAGCUGUAAUUUUAAAUUCCCAUAGCCUUUAAUGACAGUCCUGCUAUGCAAAAGGAAGUCCAGCAGUCAUUUAAGGCAGCAGUGUUACAUAACUGCCACGUGCACAGCUGUAACCUCACUAAGCUCUCUUUGUCAUAACAUAUUUUUGUUUAUUCCUUGCUGAACAUAAAAAAUAUUUUUAAGAACUGUUUACACUACAUUUCAAAUCUUUAAGAUUUGUUAAUGUUUUUGAAAGAAGUAUCUUGUGGUCACCAAAGCUGCAUUUAUUUGAUCAAAAAGACAGUAAAACCAGUAAUAUUGUGAAAUAAUAUUACAACUCUUUUCUAUUUUAAUAUAUUUGAAAAUUAAUUGUAUUUUUCUGAUGGUAAAGGUUCAUUUGCAGCAUCAUCACUCCAGUCUUCAGUGCCACGUGAGCCUUCAGAAAUCAUUCGAAUAUGCUGAUUUGGUACUCAAGAAACAUUUAUUAUUAUCAACAUUUGGUAAAUAUAAAGUUGAACAGCAUUUAUUUAGUAUAUAAAUGUUUUUUUAACAUUAUAAAUGUCUUUACUGUCACUUUUGAUCAAUUUGAUCAUGAAUUCUUGCCGAAUAAAAAUAUAUUUUCUUUCAAAACAAAACAAAAAGUAAACUUUUAAACAGUUGUGGAUAGUAUCAUAUAACUUUGCUUGGAAAACAAGUUGUGCAGCCACAUAUACAGAUUUCAUGGCUCCCAGAGUCAUCUUACGCCGGAUAACCGUUAUCCAAUCAGCACUGCCAGGAUGGCAGGAAGUUCUGACACUAGUGUGGGAACAGCAGACUUCAGAGAGAGUCUGUGCAGAUUUUCCCCACCCCUCUACCAGUGAAUGGCCCAAAAUGUUGCCUUCGGCCGUGCAAAGGCACCAUACACCGCACCCUCUCAAAGAAUGGCCUUUUAUUAUCCCUACAUGUCAGAGUCUGAAGGAGCAAUGGAAAACAUUAGGAACUGUGGUGUAUGCUAGAAACCUUUUGAAUCAUCACACAAACACGCUGUAACGGUAUCUGUUACUCACCUCUCAAGAGCUCCCAAAAACUUCUGCAGCCUCUCGGAUCUGUCAGCUUCCCCGACACCAAAUCCUUCAUGCAGACUUUAUAGACUGGAAUAGAAACUUCUGGAAGUUGGGAAAGGAGUAUAAUAAUGGUUCCCGUUUUUCUGUGAGACCUCCCCCAGAUCCAGUUACUGUGGGACCUGGACUCUCUCCUCGAGGUCCUAAAGGCAGCAGGAACUGACCCCUUUCCUGCUCACACACUCACACAAUGGCUAAACUGAAGUGCUUUUUCAUGCAAAGACAAUUGGACAUCGGAUUUAUGAAUGUGAAAUGUGGACAUCGGAUUUACUGAUUAAAAUCGAAUCAAAUUUAAAAACAUCCUACACUAGGAAUCCUGUUGUUCAAACAUGAAGCACUGGAAUGCAUGAAGAAUCCCAGAGGAACAUUUUAUUGCAUAGAAGUUUAAAGCACAGGAGACUUGGAAAAAUCUCAGGAAUGUUUCACAUAAGUGUCCUUCUCUCAGUGCUGCAAAUUAAAACAUGUCUUUAUGCAAUACAUGACUUGGUCACCAUUGGAUCCUCUGCAGUGAAUGGGUGCCAUCAGAAUGAGAGUUCAAACAGCUGAUAAAAACAUCACAAUGAUCUACACGACUCCAGCCCCUAAAUUAAUGUUUUGAGAAGUGAAAAACUACAUAUCUGAAAGAAACAAGUCCAUUAUUAAGAUGUUUUUAACUUCAAACCAUUGCUUCAG